GGCGGGAGAGGGGGGAUUUUAGCUUCUGAUUGGUGUAGUUCUUUUGAUGGAUGGCCCCAGCCGUCCAAAGAGGGCUGGUCUGGGAGGGAAGAAGUCCAGCCAAUCAGCACACACUUCCCAUUAUCCCGGAGCCAAAUUCUCCGCCCCUUGAGGCCACGCCCCUUGCCUCUUAGCUUCUCUCAGUGGGGAGUUUCCCAAAGUGUUUUCAACCAAGAAGUGGUCGAGCUAAAUGGUGUGCGCAGUCUGUCCCGGGGCAGGUCUCUCCUGGCAGCCGGAUUGGCCAGAACAUCAUUCCAGAAUGGUGGAGAGGUGGUGAAUUUUCUAUGCGGUGGUGUAUUCUAUAGGUUUUUCCUUGUGAGCUUUGGAAAUCCAUUGAUUCUUGCCUUAAUUUCCUUUUUGUACGAUUUAUCAAAGAAUGGAGCUGGGACUGCAGAAGUGCCUUUGAGCAACAGAAGUUAUAACAAACAACAGGAGGACAAACAUUUCUCUCCAUGCACCGGUGCAAUGAAAUCAGGCGAGUGGCAAUCCCAGGACAGGAGCCAUGGAACUCAGAGCCACCGCUCAGCCACUCAGUCGCGUGGUCCCAGCAGCGGCAGACACGGGGAGGCGGGGGACGGCCUGGCCUCCCGGGGCGGGAGUGAGGGGCCAGGUGCCGCAGGAAGUGAGGGGCGCGGCACUGCCCCGUGCUGGCGGGAGAGUGUGGGGGAGGGGGCGGGGAGCCAAGCGCCCGGGUGCGCCCCGACCACAGGGAGCAGCUCAGUGGCAUCAGCUGUCCCAGCAGAGCUACCCUGGGGGCCGGAACCAGGCUGCGCUGGGGGGAAGGCGGCGGUAAGAGCCAGAGCAGAAGAGGAGCACAUGCUGACUGCCUUCCUCGUGCGCACGGAGCUCCUGGUGACCCAGCUGCACCUGGCAAGGGGAAGAGCGCUCCCGAGAUCCUAAGAUAUCUUCCUCCGAUGAAGAACGUCUGCUACUAGAUGUCUGAGUGCUUGCACAUCAGCUUGACUUACCAGUGGAUAUUUUCUUAACAAUUGCAUUAAAAAAAAAAAUCAAAUGGACCAGUGAAGUGUUUUCAAAGGAGUAGUCCUUGAAAAGGGACUCUUUUGGGAAUAGCAUGGCAGGUUAGGAGGAGAUCUCCUGCUCCCUAGCAUUUGGUCCAGUUGACAUAGACUGUUGAGUGCAGGGCUCAAAGCCAAGAUCAGCUAGUAAUAAAAAGAGUUUGUAUUUGUUAUAUGCUUCCCA
Molecule: long non-coding RNA, 1239 nt
Filed under: Vulpes vulpes (red fox)
Lineage: Eukaryota; Metazoa; Chordata; Mammalia; Carnivora; Canidae
Description: lncRNA (ENSVVUG00000003777.1)
Source: RNAcentral